UUUGAUAUUUUCUGGGAAACAGGAGAAAUUGUGGAAUUAACAGCAUUUCCAUCAUGUUGCAGAUAUAUUUGAUUUGGCUAACCUUGAUCAUCUUUAAAGAGUCAAGUGGGGAAAUUGUGGUCACUCAGACCCCGGCCUCUUUGCACAAAAAUCCUGGGGACAGAGUCGACAUUCAGUGCCAGACUUCCUCUUCAGUCACCCUUUCAUCCACUCAUUACAUGAAUUUCUAUCAGUUUCUACCAGGACAAAAACCUAAGCUACUAAUUUAUUAUGCUACCAACCGUUUUGAAGGGACCCCAGAUCGUUUCAGUGGAAGAGGAAGUGGCACUGACUUCACCUUCACUAUCAAUGGUGUGCGUCCUGAGGAUGAAGGGGAGUAUUACUGUGGGCAACACCGCAGCACACCUCUACACAGUGAUACACUUCAGUACAAAAACCUAGUUGAUGCUCUAUGACUGUAGCAGUAGUUUGAAUUGGGCUGUGCAAGAUUUCUUUGAAUGUACACAAAGAGAGGCAGAAAUAGGAAUUGCUACUGCCCUUUUUUUCUAUUACACCUUCCAACAACUCCUAAGAAAUGCUAAUA
This is a non-coding RNA of Anolis sagrei ordinatus, 583 nucleotides long. NCBI's taxonomy places the organism in Eukaryota, Metazoa, Chordata, Lepidosauria, Squamata, Anolidae. The record is from the annotation of a RefSeq genome assembly.